This 468-nucleotide ribosomal RNA is filed under the name uncultured bacterium. RNAcentral's name for it is "partial 16S ribosomal RNA". It matches the Rfam family "Bacterial small subunit ribosomal RNA", at positions 28 to 507 of the family's 1533-position model. The record is from RNAcentral.
GACGAACGCUGGCGGCGUGCUUAACACAUGCCAGUCGAACGGAAAGGCCCUGCUUUUGUGGGGUGCUCGAGUGGCGAACGGGUGAGUAACACGUGAGUAACCUGCCCUUGACUUUGGGAUAACUUCAGGAAACUGGGGCUAAUACCGGAUAGGAGCUCCUGCUGCAUGGUGGGGGUUGGAAAGUUUCGGCGGUUGGGGAUGGACUCGCGGCUUAUCAGCUUGUUGGUGGGGUAGUGGCUUACCAAGGCUUUGACGGGUAGCCGGCCUGAGAGGGUGACCGGCAACAUUGGGAAUGAGAGACGGCCCGGACUCCUACGGGAGGCAGCAGGGGGGGAGAGUGCAGAAUGGGCGGGAGCCUGAUGCAGCAACGCCGCGUGAGGGAUGACGGCCUUCGGGUUGUAAACCGCAUGCGCCUGUGACGAAGCGUGAGGGACGGUAAGGGGUAAAGAAGCACCGGCUAACUACGGG